Molecule: RNA transcript, 8783 nt
Organism: Lagenorhynchus albirostris (white-beaked dolphin)
Lineage: Eukaryota; Metazoa; Chordata; Mammalia; Artiodactyla; Delphinidae
Gene: ARHGAP26
Gene name: Rho GTPase activating protein 26
Exons: 23
Source: RefSeq, a predicted model, not a curated record
GAGGCGGCUGCACUCGCUCGACUUCUCGUUCCCUUCCCGGCGCCGCUGCGGGUCCGUCUCUGCGCUUCCUGCUCCCCGGCCGCUCGGUUGCACGCCGCCGGAGCAGCCGCCCUUCGUUCGAGUCCCGGCUCGGUUCGGAAGUCGUGCGCGCCCGCAGACACCGCGCGCAGGGCUAGCCGGCGCCACACCUGUGGAGCCGGCGGCCGUCGCGGGAGCCGGCCGGGGUCCCGCCGCGUGCGUGCUCGGGGCUGCGGGCCGCCGGGGCCCCGGGGGAGGCGCGCCCCCCGUCUGGGCGCCGCAGACACCAUGGGGCUGCCCGCGCUCGAAUUCAGCGACUGCUGCCUCGACAGCCCGCACUUCCGAGAGACGCUCAAGUCACACGAAGCGGAGCUGGACAAGACCAACAAAUUCAUCAAGGAGCUCAUCAAGGACGGGAAGUCACUCGUCAGCGCGCUCAAGAAUUUGUCUUCAGCGAAGCGGAAAUUUGCAGAUUCCUUAAAUGAAUUUAAGUUUCAGUGCAUAGGAGAUGCAGAAACAGAUGAUGAAAUGUGCAUAGCAAGGUCUUUGCAGGAGUUUGCCACUGUCCUCAGGAAUCUCGAAGAUGAACGGAUACGGAUGAUUGAGAAUGCCAGCGAAGUGCUCAUCACUCCCUUGGAGAAAUUUCGAAAGGAGCAGAUUGGGGCUGCCAAGGAAGCCAAAAAGAAGUAUGACAAGGAGACAGAGAAGUAUUGCGGUAUCUUAGAAAAACACUUGAAUUUGUCUUCCAAAAAGAAAGAAUCUCAGCUGCAGGAGGCAGACAGCCAAGUGGACCUGGUCCGGCAGCAUUUCUAUGAAGUAUCCCUGGAGUAUGUCUUCAAGGUGCAAGAAGUCCAAGAGAGAAAGAUGUUUGAGUUUGUGGAGCCUCUACUGGCAUUCCUACAAGGACUCUUCACUUUCUAUCACCAUGGUUAUGAACUGGCCAAGGACUUCAACGACUUCAAGACGCAGUUGACUAUCAGCAUACAGAACACAAGAAAUCGCUUUGAAGGCACCAGGUCAGAAGUGGAAUCCCUGAUGAAGAAGAUGAAAGAGAAUCCCCUCGAGCACAAGACCAUCAGUCCCUACACCAUGGAAGGGUACCUCUACGUCCAGGAGAAACGUCAUUUUGGAACUUCCUGGGUGAAGCACUACUGUACAUAUCAACGGGAUUCCAAACAAAUCACCAUGGUACCAUUUGACCAAAAGUCAGGAGGAAAGGGGGGAGAAGAUGAAUCAGUCACCCUCAAAUCCUGCACACGGCGGAAAACGGACUCUAUUGAGAAGCGGUUUUGCUUUGACGUGGAAGCAGUAGACAGGCCCGGAGUUAUCACCAUGCAGGCAUUGUCUGAAGAGGACCGGAGGCUCUGGAUGGAAGCCAUGGAUGGAAGGGAACCUGUCUACAACUCGAACAAAGACAGCCAGAGCGAAGGGACUGCACAGUUGGACAGCAUUGGCUUCAGCAUCAUCAGGAAAUGCAUCCACGCUGUGGAAACCAGAGGGAUCAAUGAGCAAGGGCUCUACCGAAUCGUGGGGGUCAAUUCCAGAGUGCAGAAGCUGCUGAGUAUCCUGAUGGACCCCAAAACAGCUUCUGAAACAGAAACGGAUAUCUGCGCCGAGUGGGAGAUAAAGACCAUCACUAGUGCUUUGAAAACCUACCUAAGAAUGCUUCCAGGACCACUCAUGAUGUACCAGUUUCAAAGAAGUUUCAUCAAAGCAGCAAAGCUGGAGAACCAGGAGUCACGGGUCUCUGAAAUCCACAGCCUUGUUCAUCGGCUCCCAGAGAAAAAUAGGCAGAUGUUACAGCUGCUCAUGAACCACUUGGCAAACGUUGCUAACAACCACAAGCAGAAUUUGAUGACGGUGGCAAACCUUGGCGUGGUGUUCGGACCCACCCUGCUGCGUCCUCAGGAAGAAACGGUAGCAGCCAUCAUGGAUAUCAAGUUUCAGAACAUUGUCAUUGAGAUCCUAAUAGAAAAUCAUGAAAAGAUAUUUAACACCGUGCCGGAUGUGCCCCUCACCAAUGCCCAGCUGCACCUGUCUCGGAAGAAGAGCAGUGACUCCAAGCCCCCAUCCUGCAGCGAGAGGCCCCUGACGCUCUUCCACACCAUGCAGUCAACAGAGAAACAGGAACAGAGAAACAGCCUCAUCGACUCCAGUUUGGAAUCUGUCGUCUCAUCAAACGCAAACAGCAUCCUUAAUUCUAGCAGCAGCUUACAGCCCAACAUGAACUCCAGUGACCCAGACCUGGAUGUGCUCAAACCCACCCGGCCCAACUCACUCCCCCCGAAUCCAAGCCCAACUUCACCCCUCUCGCCAUCUUGGCCCAUGUUUUCGGCGCCAUCCAGCCCUAUGCCCACCUCAUCCACGUCCAGCGACUCAUCCCCCAUCAGGUCUGUUGCAGGGUUUGUUUGCUUUUCUGUUGCUGCUGUUGUUCUCUCAUUGGCUUGGUCCUCUCUUCAUGCAGUGUUCAGCCUCCUCGUCAACUUUGUUCCCUGCCAUCCAAACCUGCACUUGCUUUUUGACAGGCCAGAAGAAGCGGUUCGUGAAGACUCCAGCACACCGUUCCGGAAGGCAAAAGCCUUAUAUGCCUGCAAAGCGGAACACGACUCAGAGCUCUCAUUCACGGCAGGGACGGUCUUCGAUAAUGGUGAGUUUCUCCAAUAAAUCACUGGAGUUGUCAAAGUUCCUUUCUACCUAAGGAAAAUCUCAACAGAACAGUGCAUCCAUCUCAGGAGCCUGGCUGGUUGGAGGGGACUCUGAAUGGAAAGACGGGCCUCAUCCCCGAGAACUACGUGGAGUUCCUCUAACCAUGGGCCCUGGCAGAACUGCUGAGCUUUUCAUGGUGUCCAUGACAACGGCUGAUUCCAUUGUUGUGGGCCAUUGCUCUUCGCCGCUGAGAAGUGCAGGGUGACUGACUCUGCUGCUACCUGUCAACACGAAUGUUUCUGUGAACUCUGGUGUCACCCAUCCCCAUGAUAAUCUCAGCUGACGUGCGGUGAUACUGCAAGAAACAGAAGUAAAUCAGCGGAGGAGGCCGUUUGAUUUUGAUAACAAGAAAGGCUUACAAAGCCAUUUCUCUCAUUUAGCACCCUACGUGGGGUGCUCAUUUUGUUUCAGUAGUCACCCAAACCCCAACCUUCUGAUAAAGGAAGGAAGUGAGAUGUAAGCAGUCCCCAGAAGGUUGCAGUAUAGCUGGCUCUGACAGGGCUGGGCAGUGGCCUGAGAUCCAGUCUGGAUCCACAGCUAUUGUUUACAGUAGACACUCUCUCUACCCCACCUCUAAAUACUUGAGACCUGCCGUGAUAUAGGCGGCUGGGUCUGUUUGUUUGCAUGCAGGAUGGAGAAGGGUUAUGGCGCUGUUUACAUAAGAUCCAGUCUCUCACCAUCUCUCAAGCAGCCACUGUCCCAGCACCGGCAGAAUUCUGUCCAGUCCUCUCAUGCAGGGGAGCACACACCACCCCCAUGGCCCCCUUCCCAAGCUAGGAACAUGAUAUCCCAAGCUAGGAACUUCUCUGCCACCGAAGGCUGCCAUUGCCUCGUAACCACGGCAACCCAACCUACUCUAAAACCAAACCAAAAAAUAACACACUCUUUGCGUGACGUAUUUUUUUCUCCCUGCUUUUUGGCCGUUUUUUGAAUGGUUUUCCAACAACCUGAAGCCGAAGAUCAAGGUCUACUUGGGGGCAGAUAGAAUAGCAGCUGGGAACUGCUCCCUUUCUGAUGAAUUUCAGCAGCACUAGGAUAUAUUUGGAACAAACUCUAGUAACCUCUUGAGAUUAAAUUACAUACAGGCUUAAUAUUUCUGUUCUUCCAUGCAACUAGUGUCUGCUUUCUUAGAGGGCAACGUGCUGCCUCCCAAAGGGGAAUACCCUCCCUCUGACUCACUCCCUCCCGUUCACCUGUCCCUUCCCCUGUCCUUGCCUGCCUGUAGCCCUUCACUGACGAGCCCCCUGGCAGUGCCCCGGGCUGCUCAGCACUGGUGCCCUGGCAGCUUUCAGGCAUGAUUCCUGGACUAACCCCAUGGCCUCUAGUUUAAAAGGACAUACAUGUUCACUGCCACUCAGAAAAAGGGAAUUGUUUCUCAGGCUUUUGAGGCAUGAGACUAAUAGCAUAAGCCAUUGUGAUUCAGGAGGACACCAGAAGGUUGGGGCAUGGAAGGUGGGAUGGGUACCUUCUGAGAAAGAGAAUUUCCUGGUCCAGAAGGGGCUGGGGCAUGUGGAAGACUGCCUUGGGUGGGGAAGUUUGGCCUGGACAUUUCAAAUUCACUUGGCUUUCCAAAGAAGAGAGUUCCGGUAUUUCCACACUUGAAUGUCCUUGCAAGAGUGAUUCUGGGCAGACAAACUCCGAAGUGAGGGACUGUCAAGCUCUCCAGGACAGGAGCCCCUCGGGAUGGUGGCGUUGUUCCAGAGUGUGUCCUGCUUCUGGAAUUCCUCUUGAGGGAACUUUAAAGAGGAAAAGAAAAACUUGAAUUGUGUUGAAUUACUGUAUCUUUUACUUUUUUUUUUUUUUGAAAAGAUAAACGUGUAAAUAGAGUGAUUUGAAAUACUAUAUGGCAAAGUUUUAUAUUUGAUAUUCUAUAAGCUAGUUGCUUCACACAUUUAAGCUUUGAUUGCUGAACAGGUGUGUAUACGAGGGAGAGAGGGGACACAAGGUCGAAGAGAGUCAAGAUCAUCCCUUCUCUGGCCUUGAGGAAGGAGAAGAUAUUUCCACACACUCUGCUGGCUCUUGUUGGUGGGCGUGACACGUUAAUGGUGUUCAGUCUUCUUUAUCCAGAUGUGGUUUUUUUGAGCAUUUCUUGGGCUUUGGAUUUGGAGAUGGAAGGAGCAUCUUCAGGCAAUGAACUUUUCCGAGAACUCCUACCCAGUAGUAAGAUGAAGCUCAGGAUUUAAACAGGUGAGGCCAGGGGUUAGAUUUUUUUGUUUGUUUCAUUUUUCUUCUCAGGUGUAUUUCUUGAUACCCCAAGGUACCAGGACAGAAGACGGGAUAAUUGCAUGCUCCUUGUAUCUUACUCUUCCGCACAUCUUCUAAGGCUUUAUAAAGGAGUCCAAGCUAGUUUGCAAAUGUGUGUGUCUAAGUUCCAAGAAAACCUGGCCUCUUAGGAUCUUUCGUUCUUGACAUGCUGCUUCUUCCCCUUCCCCUAAACAUGUUUAUUCAUCUCAGAUUCCCUAUAGCUCCAAAAUAAGACAAAGAAAAACCUCCAAAGAGGGGUGGAGAUUGAGCUGUUAUAGCUUUCUAGAUGACUUCAAAGUUAAUAGGAGUUUGUCAUUGUGAUUCAUUCCAUCAGCUCAAGGAUGACACAGCUAUUACCCAGGAGCUCACCCAGCAGUGAGCGAGGCACCACCACCGAAUCAGGGAACAAGAAUUAAGACUGGAGAAGACCGAGAUGGGACUCAGGAAAGCUAUCAUUGAAAACCCAAGAAGAAAGGGCACAUAUGAGCAGGCUAUAUGAGCAGGCUAUACCUACUCCCUGCGGACUUUGAACAGCUUGGGGACCUGUUCAAAGGGGCUAGAGGGACAAGCACACUCUAUACCACUGUGCUUUCCAAAUAGAGUGCAACAUAAUGCUUUUAACACAUUGGACAUUUGAAAUCACCACCUGCCCCAUUGGAACCUUGACUAGAGCUAACGUGGGGACGGUCGCAAGUCCCAGGCCCUGGAUUUGGAAGUUCCUGAAGCUUACCUGCCGACACUUGGCCCCAGCUUGACCACUUGGAGGCAUGUGCCUCCCUCUUCAUUCGCCUCUGAUCCAAAGGCGAGGGAAAUGGAGCUACUGCCGAUGGGAAUUUUAGGUAGACCCCUUCCCAGCUUCUCUGGGCCGUGCAGGGCCCUGACAGAUGGCUGCUCUGCUUCCUUGCCCUGGCCAGGCUCCCCUCCCUCCCAUCAUCUACAGAACUGGAGACACUGUUCAGGAUAUAAGCCGACAAAUAAGAAGGAACUUGAAGGCUGAAAAUAGGUUUUACCCUCCACUGUCUUUGCUCCCCACCUCUAACUCUGUCUUCUGGAAUAGGGAAUCUUAGGGCACAUUAGGGUAUCAGAGUGGAAUACUAUUGAGCAAAAUCCCUGAGCUUUCCCAGGAGCCUCGUGUUGCUUUUGGAAGGCCCUGGGAUCAGGUAGGCAGACAUAGCCUGAGUCUUUUGGGGGCAUCAAGAUCAGCCUCUCCCACCUCCUCCAGGUACUCAGCAGAGUUCUGUAGUUACAGAACGCCAUGCCUUGAGAAGACAACUAGUUUCACGUUCUUCCCCCACCGCCCAGGCAAGUAAAGUCCUGACUUGCUCAAGACUGAUGAUAUUCUCUUCUGUUUUCAAAUCUGAACAUAGAGGGAUGGAUAGCACUGUAUAGCACUGCUGGCCUUUCUAUCCUAGGACUGGAGCCAGUUUUUAGCUUAGUGUUUUAGUAUUUCUACAGCCAAUGUGUGUUUUCUUCUGUCACACCAAACUGGGGUUUGUUUGUUUGUUUCUUCAGCAUAAUUCCAGUUCAUGUCCUCUUGCUGAGUGCUUUUUGGAUAGAAAGGCAAAGAGAGGGAGAAUAAAUGAACAAUCAGGUAUUGGCCAACCGGCAUUAGCAACACAGAGUCAUGCUAGUGACAAGGUGAUUUCACUGUUUGCCAGGACUCUGCAGUUAUGUGUGUCAUACCUGUAGCUCACAGGGAAGUCCUUCUACCAUCAGAGUUUGUGUCUCUUGAAAACAGCAACCCCUGUCACACCAAAAGCUCUGUCUUGACUGUAUAGACUCUAAAAAACAUCCGUGAUUGUGGAGUGGGGAGACAGAAAUAAUCGACUGAACAUAACAUGAUCAGCUACUCAUGACUGUCUACUGGCACCUUUCAUCCUCUGGCUUCUGUUUCCAGAAGAAGCAAGUCUGGACCAUCCAUUUUUAUAGACCCAGGACUCCCAGGUACAGCAGUGGCCAUCAUGGCACUCACAGUUCGCCCUAGCAUCGAAUGUUUUAUGAGCAACCGUGUUACCCAAGUAGGUAGCCAGCCCUGAAGAAACUAAACAGCCACUUAGCUACCUGACUUUAAAAGGAAUGUCCUGGCUAUACUGUCUAGGGAGUUAAUCUGUCAUGACUGGCAAACUUGACAGUAAUCAUUUACCUAGACAGCCCUGCCCCACAUCUCUUUCAAGUCAACUGGGUGUCCUCUCACACACCCUGUGUCGGCGUUUAAAAAAUGUAUCUUAUCAUGCUCAGAUGUGUUUGGCAGCCAGGCUGGUGUACUGGGUGCUGAACCACUUUUCUUUAAAUGUAACCUCCAAAUGACAACAGCCAUAGAAUAAUGGACCUUGCACAAACCUACAGCAUGCCUGAGACCAGACUCCACCAAGUCAUAAUUAGCUUGUUUCCUUUCACCACCUACAGUACUUGUCUAACUAAAGAGCUUCCCAAAGCACAGGGAGAGGCCAUAUAGAGAAUUCAGACGUCAUUCAGAGCCAGCCCUGGCUAAAAUGUGAUCUCCUAAUGGAAGCACUUGUAUUCUUAGGAGAAAAAGGAUUGGGUAUAAAGUAAUGCUAAGAGCAGAAAGAGAAAGGCAAACCAUCCUGAAGAACUUUGGAUUUUUUAAAAGAGGGAUAAAUAUAGUUCUUAAUAGGGGGAAAAAUCUAUCACAUAAAAAGUUCACAGCUAAUUUUUUUACAGAAGUUUUACAGGACACUACAAGAUGAAAACCUUUUUCAGGGCAGAAUGCCUUAGAGAGCAAAGGCUUAGCACAGUCCUGGACCCGUGUAAGUAUAGGAAUUACUAUUACAUCAAAAUUCCAUUUAGUGUAGUCAGCGAGAACCAAGAGUAGUGAUAAAGUGUCAGAAUUACCUGGAGAGGCCAAGACAUUUGACAUCAGUCAUUUCUACAUCUACCAUUUCUACCAAAUUGUCCAAACAGACCCUACACGCAGCUUCCUUGGGUAUCCAGAUGCCAGGGUCAACCUUGAACCUGUGAAAAGAGGUUCAUCUGAUGAUUCUUAAGUGUAUACGUAUUAGUGUGUGUUUGUGUAUGUAUGUGUACAGCUCACAUUUACCUAUGUAAAGAUACAGACUGUCUUCUAGAAAAACCCGCCUAAGCUGGCGGUUGCUGAGCCUUGACAGCCUUUAAGAUUUGAAGUUGGAGAAUCAGAGAACCAAGAGAAGCUAUUGAUUAUCAGAAUGAGCAAAGAUGUAACUUAAGUGCCAUUUGAAAACUCUGUUCGUAUUUAUCAGAUGAUUACUAUCUAUAGCUCUAUUCCUUAUUAACUUAUUAAGAGUCAUGUUGAAAAAAAGAUCAAACUCAUAAACAAUUAGGGGUUCAUAGUAGGCUAGUGUUCACAAGCACUCUAAAAGACAUUUUGUCCAUAUUUUGGAGAAGAAAAUAUUUGCAUGUUUAAUUCACAACGUAGGCUGCCUUUGAGUGUAUUAUAAAGUGCUGUGUGAUGUAAUAUCAAUAAACUACUUAAAAAUGGCACUUUAAGGUUUUUUUUGAGAAACAUAAAUGCACUGUUUUAAACUUCGAUUCAGUAUUGAAUAUCGACUGGUGUGUGUAGAAUCCUAUUUCGUAAUUAAAAAGUAACUUGUGACUAGAAUAGAACUUUUUCCCUGUUAUUCAUAAAACAGUGUUGCCAUGUUCAGGCUUGAAAAGAAAAAAAAAUGUGCUUUUGUGUCACUAAGCAUAUCUGUAAAGAAAAUACAGUUUCUGUUGGGUGGCCUCUGAAACUUGGCUUUCUUACUUUCGGUUGGUUUAUGUGACAAUCCCUGUGAAACUAGUGGAAGUAUGAUUUUUGAAUUAAAUGACUUUUCCAUUUG